AGCUUUGCGCAGUGGCAGUAUCGUAGCCAAUGAGGUUUAUCUGAGGCGCGAUUAUUGCUAAUUGAAAAAUUUAGGUGUCUGAAUUGUAC
Molecule: small nuclear RNA, 89 nt
Filed under: Neogale vison (American mink)
Lineage: Eukaryota; Metazoa; Chordata; Mammalia; Carnivora; Mustelidae
Description: Neovison vison (American mink) U4 spliceosomal RNA (ENSNVIG00000004731.1)
Rfam family: U4 spliceosomal RNA (bases 1-74)
About the family: U4 small nuclear RNA (U4 snRNA) is a component of the major U2-dependent spliceosome.
Source: RNAcentral